CACCUCAACAUGUUCCCCUCUCUCAACACCUACAGAGGUCACCUCACCAUGUUCCCCUCUCUCAACACCUACAGAGGUCACCUCACCAUGUUCCCCUCUCUCAACACCUAGAGGUCAUCUCAUCAUGUUCCCCUCUCUCAACACCUACAGAGGUCAUCUCACCAUGUUCCCCUCUCUCAACACCUACAGAGGUCACCUCACCAUGUUCCCCUCUCUCAACACCUAGAGGUCACCUCAACAUGUUCCCCUCUCUCAACACCUAGAGAGGUCACCUCACCAUGUUCCCCUCUCUCAACACCUAGAGGUCAUCUCAUCAUGUUCCCCUCUCUCAACACCUACAGAGGUCAUCUCAUCAUGCUCCCCUGUCUC
Molecule: long non-coding RNA, 369 nt
Organism: Oncorhynchus keta (chum salmon)
Lineage: Eukaryota; Metazoa; Chordata; Actinopteri; Salmoniformes; Salmonidae
Exons: 3
Source: RefSeq, a predicted model, not a curated record